UACGUAGGGGGCAAGCGUUGUCCGGAAUUACUGGGCGUAAAGCGCGUGUAGGCGGGUCGGCAAGUCGGACGUGAAAGGCUCGGGCUCAACCCGAGAUGGCCGUUCGAAACUGCCGUUCUUGAGGGUCGAAGAGGAGAGUGGAAUUCCUGGUGUAGCGGUGAAAUGCGUAGAGAUCAGGAGGAACACCCAUGGCGAAGGCAGCUCUCUGGUCGACAUCUGACGCUGAGACGCGAAAGCGUGGGGAGCGAACGGG
RNAcentral lists this ribosomal RNA (253 nucleotides) under uncultured bacterium. RNAcentral's name for it is "partial 16S ribosomal RNA". It matches the Rfam family "Bacterial small subunit ribosomal RNA", at positions 524 to 776 of the family's 1533-position model. The record is from RNAcentral.